RNAcentral lists this ribosomal RNA (509 nucleotides) under uncultured bacterium. RNAcentral describes it as "bacterial SSU rRNA". It matches the Rfam family "Bacterial small subunit ribosomal RNA", at positions 32 to 516 of the family's 1533-position model. The record is from RNAcentral.
AAUCAACGCUGGCGGCGUGCCUCAGACAUGCAAGUCGAACGCGAAAGCUCCCUUCGGGGAGCAAGUAGAGUGGCGCACGGGUGAGUAACACGUAGGUAAUCUACCUUUGGAUGGGGAAUAACAACCGGAAACGGUUGCUAAUACCGCAUAAUGCAGCGGCACCUAAUGGUGACAGUUGUUAAAGCGGGGGAUCGCAAGACCUCGCGUCUGAAGAGGAGCCUGCGGCGGAUUAGCUAGUUGGUAGGGUAACGGCUUACCAAGGCGAUGAUCCGUAGCCGGCCUGAGAGGGCGGUCGGCCACACUGACACUGACAUACGGGUCAGACUCCUACGGGAGGCAGCAGUCGGGAAUUUUGGGCAAUGGGCGAAAGCCUGACCCAGCAACGCCGCGUGAAGGAUGAAAUCCCUCGGGAUGUAAACUUCGCAAGAACGGGAAGAAUAAGCCGGUGUCAACACCACCGACGAUGACGGUACUGUUUGUAAGCUCCGGCUAACUCCGUGCCAGCAGCC